UCGAGUGCGCGGUUGUAGCAAUACAACUGGCGCACGGCGCACGGGUGCGUAACACGUGGGUAACCUGCCCUUUGGUGGGGAAUAACUCCGCGAAAGCGGAGCUAAUUCCGCAUAAGAUCCGCAAGGAUGAAAGCCGCAAGGCGCCGAAGGAGGGGCCCGCGCCCGAUUAGCUAGUUGGUAGGGUAACGGCCUACCAAGGCUUUGAUCGGUAGCUGGUCUGAGAGGAUGAUCAGCCACACUGGAACUGAGACACGGUCCAGACUCCUACGGGAGGCAGCAGUGGGGAAUCUUGCACAAUGGGCGAAAGCCUGAUGCAGCGACGCCGCGUGGGGGAUGAAGCAUUUCGGUGUGUAAACCCCUUUCGAUCCGGACGAAACCCCGCAAGGGAUUGACGGUACGGAUAUAAGAAGCCCCGGCUAACUACGUGCCAGCAGCCGCAGUAAGACGUAGGGGGCCAGCGUUGUUCGGAAUUACUGGGUGUAAAGGGUUCGUAGGCGGUGCGGCAAGUUGGGAGUGAAAUCUCUGGGCUUAACCCAGAGGCUGCUUCCAAAACUGCUGUGCUUGAGUGUGGGAGAGGCGCGUGGAAUUGCAGGUGUAGCGGUGAAAUGCGUAGAUAUCUGCAGGAACACCCGUGGCGAAGCGGCGCGCUGGACCACUACUGACGCUGAGGAACGAAAGCUAGGGGAGCAAACAGGAUUAGAUACCCUGGUAGUCCUAGCCCUAAACGAUCAGGACUUGGGGUGCCACCCGUU
This 752-nucleotide ribosomal RNA is filed under the name uncultured Pseudomonadota bacterium. Its description in RNAcentral is "bacterial SSU rRNA". It matches the Rfam family "Bacterial small subunit ribosomal RNA", at positions 62 to 833 of the family's 1533-position model. Lineage: Bacteria; Pseudomonadati; Pseudomonadota. The record is from RNAcentral.